Molecule: long non-coding RNA, 2856 nt
Filed under: Helianthus annuus (common sunflower)
Lineage: Eukaryota; Viridiplantae; Streptophyta; Magnoliopsida; Asterales; Asteraceae
Source: RNAcentral
AACACCGCCGCUUCCUUACUCCUCUCUCUCUCUCUCUCUCUCUGGCGAUUCACCAGAUCUAUGAAGUUCGAUGAAGAUUCUGAUCUCCUGGUUUUGAGAACAACCCGUAGGCGCUCCAAAUCAAGGUAUAAAUCUUGAAUCUAAGUUGACGAUAGACGUUGAAUAUGCCACCAGAAGCAUCCGUGUUGAGUAGAAGAUUAUCAAGGCUCAGAUUUUGGAAAUUGUGGGUCAAAAGAGGGUUUAGGAAAGUGAUGAUGAAGUUAAAUUCGGCGAUGAUGAAAAUAUCACACGUAACUGGAGUGUGUUGAAAACUACUCCUGAGCUUCGCAAAUCAAAGGGUCACCAUUGGAGUCUGGACCCACAACACCCCUGCCAGAUAGAAAGAUAUUGUUGUUCAUUCUUGAUAGGCUUCAAAAGAAGGAUACUCAUGUCGUUUUCUCUAAACCUGUUGAUCCGAAUGAGUGGGAUUGAAGUGAAGAAGCCUCAACAACAUAUUAUAAAGCUAACAAAAUGUUCAUGAGUCCGUUAACUGUGGACACAGAAGAUUCUUUUUCGAGUUUACUUGAAUACGCCGCUAAUUAUCACCCAUGUCUCCCAGGUUCAGUCAACAGAUGUCACUAUCAGGAAACAGUGGUUAACACUCUUCAGUUACGUGGCCCUAGCCGAAUGUCCCGACACUUCAUCUUCCAGGAAGUAAUCUACAAUCGAGUCGGCUUAGAUCUUCUCUUAGCGCCAGGGAUAUCCCAUUAGAGGAUUUGAGCUUGUUGCAGGAUUAUAAAUCUCAACAACUGCUACACGACUUUACCUGUUAUUCACAAACUCGACCUGGUUCACUCUCGUUGAACCGUUCAGCUCGGUCUAAAACACUUGCUCCUGCAAAUCUUGAAGAUCUGUUUGUAGCGGAGCUUGCUUCUUCUCCAAGAUAUUCCGAUCCGGCAGCAUCUCCUGGCGUCUUUUCACCAUCGCACAAAUCAACGGUUCUCAACUAGUUCCAACAGCAGCAAAGCAUGCUUUCUCCUAUCAAUACCAACGUGUUUUCACCGAAAAACGUUGACCAUAUGUUGCAAGCUUCUUUUGGCGUUUCAUCACCGGGGAGAAUGUCGCCGCGAAGCAUGGAUCCGAUAUCUCCAACGGGUGCUCGGCUUUCCGCUUUUGCACAACGUGAAAAACAUCAAUAGCUACGCAGUCUCAGUUCUAGGGAUCUUGGAGCAAAUCUUGGUACAAACAGUCCUUUUAGUGUCGGAUCACAUGUGAAUAACACUUCGUCUUCUUAGUCAAAAUGGGGAUCUCCAACUGGGAAGGCUGACUGGUCGGUCAACGGAGACGGAACCUGGUCAAGUACAAUUAUAUCAUUAUAUAUCAUACGGCGGACUAUGUGGUGGGAUCAUUGAGCUUGAUGAAAACGUUGCAAAUAUUUGGACGGAGUUUGGUACGAAUGGAAAAGAUCAAAUAAAGGUUAAUCAUGUACAUCAUUCAGCUGGUUUACACAAUGCUCCGCCACUGAAGAAGGCCGUAACUGACCCUCACGUUCUACUACACUGCCACCAUCGUCGACUCAGCAAAAUCGGAAACUACAUCCCCGUACAUAGCCCUAAACUUACCAACCUAAGUCAUAUGUUUCCCGCCGCAUCGCGCAGCACAAAUAUUUUUGAAACCUCACGUAGAAUGACAACACGAGCAUAUUUGAUAAACACUUUGGAGGAUGGGCAAUGGAUUUCACAAAACGUGAUAGACUGUUGGGCGGCUAUUUUGAAUUAUGAUGAGAAAAAAAAAACAAUACAGUAGGGAAAAGGCGAUUAUGGUGUUAUACGACAACUAACCCGGAGUUUAUGUUGAAAACAAAACAGACAGAAAAAAAAGCGUUUACAACAUUAACUUCACACUUGAAGGAGGUUGUGGAGUGUGACAUUAAAAUGCUGGAGUUAAAAAAUUUAACAUCAUAAUAAUACCAAUGAUCGAAAGAAAGCAUUUUUAUCUAAUAUUCUUUGAUUUAGAGAACGCGAAGGUCGAAGUUAUUGAUAAUAUUGUGAGUAACAGCGGGUUUUACAGAAUGUCAGAAGGAACGAAAUUUAAAGAAACUGGAACGCCAUGUAAAGUGAAAAAUUACAUGGUUGGGUAUUUGAAGGUUGUUGCACGCAUGGCAGCCGCAACGUUGACAAAGAAAAAAUUGGAAUGGGAAACGAGUGAUAAUUUCAACGAUUGUGGUGUGUUUGCUAUGAGGCACAUGGAGAUGUACAAAGGGAGUGAUGUCGAGUUUGAAUGCGGUUUUAGUACGCGAAAAAUAUUCAAGACAUGCAAUUGCAAAACUUGAGGAUGAAGAUUGCAACAAAACUGAUAUUAUCAGAGGCAAACGUGUACGAGAGAACGGUUAUGUACCUCGCAAGCAAACGUGUACAAGAGAACGAUUAUGUACCUCGCAAGAAACGCAACACAAAGUUUGAGAGAUGAAAGAAUGCGAAAAAUGUUGGAAAAAGAGGGGGCGAAACAAGAAAAAUGUUGGAACAUUCUUAGCAAAUGGAAGAAUGGGGAUAAAGUUUGAGGGUAUUAGUUAAUAAUUCAGUUUAUUAACUGUCAGGACACGUAGUAUUUCUACACGUAGUAUUUCUGGUUAAUUGGUGAUCUAUGAACAUUAAACUGGUACUUUGGUUUGUUUUGUUUGGUUUGGUUUGGCAUGUUAGAUGGUUGUGUUGUGAAGGUAACAAGUUGGUACCGUUAUGAUGUCGGUUAUAGUUUUGGUUAAUUGUGAUUGGAACUAGCUUAUUGUGUUACUAAUACUUGUUGGUUGACAACAGUUGUUAUAACAGUUGGUAUUUUAGCAAUUGGUAUGUUGGAUGUGUGAUAUGGUAAUCAAUGUUU